Molecule: ribosomal RNA, 406 nt
Filed under: uncultured bacterium
Lineage: Bacteria
Description: partial 16S ribosomal RNA
Rfam family: Bacterial small subunit ribosomal RNA
Source: RNAcentral
AUUGAACGCUGGCGGCAGGCCUAACACAUGCAAGUCGACGUAAGCGGCGGACGGGUGAGUAAUGUAUGGGGAUCUGCCCGAUAGAGGGGGACAACAGUUGGAAACGACUGCUAAUACCGCAUACUGAAGGAGGGGAUUGCGUCUGAUUAGCUAGUUGGAGGGGUAACGGCCCACCAAGGCGAUGAUCAGUAGCCGGGCUGAGAGGAUGAGCAGCCACACUGGGACUGAGACACGGCCCAGACUCCGACGUGAGGCAGCAGUGGGGAAUAUUGCACAAUGGGCGAAAGCCUGAUGCAGCCAUGCCGCGUGUAUGAAGAAGGCCCUAGGGUUGUAAAGUACUUUCAGUCGGGAGGCGUUACCGACAGAAGAAGCACCGGCUAACUCCGGCCAGCAGCCGCGGUAAUUC